Molecule: signal recognition particle RNA, 293 nt
Filed under: Cebus imitator (Panamanian white-faced capuchin)
Lineage: Eukaryota; Metazoa; Chordata; Mammalia; Primates; Cebidae
Description: Metazoan signal recognition particle RNA (ENSCCAG00000008809.1)
Rfam family: Metazoan signal recognition particle RNA
About the family: The signal recognition particle (SRP) is a universally conserved ribonucleoprotein. It is involved in the co-translational targeting of proteins to membranes.
Source: Rfam by way of RNAcentral
GCUGGGCGCCGUGGUGCAUGCCUGUAGUCCCAGCUACUGGGGAGGUUGAGGUGGGAGGAUCGCUUGAGUCCGGGAGUUCUGGGCUGUAGUGCGCUAUGCUGAUCAGGUGUCCGCACUAAGUUCAGCAUCAAUAUGGUGACCUCCCGGGAGUGGGGGACCACCAGAUCACCUAAGGACGAGUGAACCUGCCCAGGUCGGAAAUGGAGCAGGCCAAAACUCCUGUGCUGACCAGUAGUGGGAUCGUACCUGUGAAUAGCCACCACACUCCAGCCUGGGCAACAUAGUGAGACCGA